This 253-nucleotide ribosomal RNA is filed under the name uncultured bacterium. Its description in RNAcentral is "partial 16S ribosomal RNA". It matches the Rfam family "Bacterial small subunit ribosomal RNA", at positions 524 to 776 of the family's 1533-position model. The record is from RNAcentral.
UACGUAGGGCGCAAGCGUUGUCCGGAAUUAUUGGGCGUAAAGAGCUCGUAGGUGGCGUGUCGCGUCUGCCGUGAAAGCCCAUGGCUUAACUGUGGGUCUGCGGUGGAUACGGGCAGGCUGGAGGCUGGUAGGGGCAAGCGGAAUUCCUGGUGUAGCGGUGAAAUGCGCAGAUAUCAGGAGGAACACCGGUGGCGAAGGCGGCUUGCUGGGCCAGUUCUGACGCUGAGGAGCGAAGGCGUGGGGAGCGAACAGG